UACGAAGGGGGCUAGCGUUGCUCGGAAUCACUGGGCGUAAAGCGCACGUAGGCGGCUUUCUAAGUCAGGGGUGAAAUCCUGGAGCUCAACUCCAGAACUGCCUUUGAUACUGGCGAUCUCGAGUCCGGGAGAGGUGAGUGGAACUGCGAGUGUAGAGGUGAAAUUCGUAGAUAUUCGCAAGAACACCAGUGGCGAAGGCGGCUCACUGGCCCGGUACUGACGCUGAGGUGCUAAAGCGUGGGGAGCAAACAGG
RNAcentral lists this ribosomal RNA (253 nucleotides) under uncultured bacterium. Its description in RNAcentral is "partial 16S ribosomal RNA". It matches the Rfam family "Bacterial small subunit ribosomal RNA", at positions 524 to 776 of the family's 1533-position model. The record is from RNAcentral.